Cucurbita moschata (crookneck pumpkin) is the source of this 2916-nucleotide RNA transcript. RefSeq lists it as uncharacterized. Lineage: Eukaryota; Viridiplantae; Streptophyta; Magnoliopsida; Cucurbitales; Cucurbitaceae. The record is from RefSeq and is a predicted model, not a curated record. The transcript is spliced from 3 exons.
AAAUCCGCGAACGUCAUUUCCCCCAAAAUUUCUAUGGAUUUUCUCUCCAUUCCUAAACUUAAUCUUCAACCUAACGUGGCUCUUCCUGAUCAAACCCACUCCGAUUCUCCUUCUCCGGUACCGUCUGUCCCAUCCCUCCGCCGCGACGAUCUCCCCAACACCAUGGAUUUCAACCCCUUUGCCACUAUCUCCUCCAUCGUCACAUCUGCCGACGAUUCCUUCCCUUUCGACACCGAUUGGUUUUCCGACGCGGAUUCCGAGUCCGAGCGUGAUGUUAGUUGCUUCGUGACUGAUCUUUUUGAGAAUCGUCGCUUCACCGAUCAUUUGCACGCUUUCAGCGAUUACGAUCGAGGUCUGGAUUCUGGGCCAGACCCAUUUACGCAUUCUGCUAACGACUUGGGCAUUUCGGGAUUUGAAGAUACCGGUGAGAUUGAAUCUCACUAUAUUGAGGAGCUGUGGUCGGCUUUCGCUAUGGAAUCUGAUAGCCGGGUUUCGGAGGUGGAUGUGAGCAUGCCAGUUGCGGAUUCGACUACUAGUGGCCUUCGGAUUGUUGAUGUGGAUUCGGACUCGGAGUCUGAUAACGGGAUGAUUGGUGCUCUGCAACUCGUGACAGGGGAUGAUGGCGAGAAUGAUGCUAAUUGGGUUGAAAAUCCGAAUCCUCUCUCGGAUAGCUUCAGCUUUUGCUUUCAGGGCCAGAGGAUUCCGUACGAGGAUUUUGAAUGGGAGGAGGUCGAGGAACGGGUGGACGAAAGGGAUAAUUUGAGCGCAGUGGUAGAUGGAGCUGAGGAAUUGUCUCUUGCAUCGGGUUUUUCCAACGAAGAAGAAGCGGGUGAAGAAGCGGGUCGAUGGGAAAUCCUAUUGGUAAUGAACGAUAUCGUAAGGAAUACGAACUGGGAACGGGAUAACGAUGCUGAGGCGUACAUAGCGGACCAGGAUGAUUACAUGUAUGCAGGAGAAUACGAUACCCUUUUUGGACAAUUCGUUGAAAAUGAGAAUGCUUUGAAGGGUAGUCCUCCAGCAGCUAAGAGUUCUGUGGAGAACCUUCCUCUGGUUGAGUUAAAAACAGAGAAUCUGCUGACAGAGGAACUCGUUGCCUGUGCCGUUUGUAAGGAUAAAUUUUCAAUGGAGGAAAAGGUGAGGAAGCUCCCCUGUGCUCACUAUUACCAUGAUGAUUGCAUUCUGCCGUGGCUGAAUAUUCGAAACACAUGUCCUGUUUGUCGAUAUGAGUUGCCAACCGAUGAUCCAGAUUAUGAGCGCAGGAAGAGUCGGAGGGCGGGUGGUGGCCUGCAAACGGAUUUGCGGGUCAGGUUUUGUGGUAAGAUUUCUUUUAAAAGUUCUCCUCCUGGAACAACUAGCAUUGCUGUUGAUACGCUCAAAUUGUCUUCACAGGUAUCCAUUGUUAUUCAAAUGCUUGGUAAGUUUUAGUCGCUAAUAGUAGGGGGAAACUAUACUAUCUUACCUUUGUUGAAUUCAAUUUAGGAAUUAUAAAGUUUGAGACAAAGCAUACUAAGUGCUGAGCUUUGAAACUGUUUACUUGUGAAGUAUUAAAUUUGUAUAUUUAUAUGCUUAGAGUAUCCGUUGGUAGACUUGUUAAAUAGGAAACUCCUGGCGUAAACUUUUGUGUGGCGCAAUUGCUUGAUUUUGGGUCAAAAUAAUUCUUGUAAGUUUGCUUAAUAGGCGUGGGAAGGAUGAUGCUUCUGUCAUCGUGUUCUGGUUAUUAAUACUUCAUCCGGUUAUUGGACAUAGAAAUCUUAGUGGAUAUGCUUUGGCCUUUUGAUUGUGUUUGGGAGUGUUUUCUCUCCUAGUAUAUUAAAAGUGCUUUGUCAAAUAAAAUCAUUUUCACUGUGCUUGACUACGUGUGAAAAUUUUGUUUAUGGAUGAAGAAACGUUUAGUGGACACUUCUAAUCAUUCAUGAUAUUGGUUCAGAAUCGGGAUUCUAUUAAAUGAAAUCUUCGUUUUUGAGAAAAGAAGUAUCUUGAGAAAUGGCUUCCCGCUUAUUGAUUAUUGAAGUGUUGUGGUGUGAAUCAUACUUUUUUUUUUUUUUUUCUUUGGAAUUAUUUUGGGUUUUUUGUUUAAAGAUUUUUAGAAAAGCAUUUCUUUUAUCAAACAAUCUUUCAAAGUCACAGACUUCUGAAUUCUGGUGUUAGCUAUUGUUACAUUUACUCGCCUGUUAUCUUAUUCUUCCCUUCUUUAAAAUCUCUCAGAAAUUGUCUUAUGAAAUAUUAUUCUGGUGUUUUUUAGUUUCUAUGAGUUGAAUCUCGGAUAACUUGAGCAGUAGAUACAAUGAUCGUCGUUUACUUUUAUGCCUUAUCAUAAUAUCCAUUGAUUAAUUGAUUUAGCUACUAAAAAAAGCCUGCAUUUCCUUCAUGAUCUAUAUGAUGUUUGCUGCUUCUUGAACACAAUGUAGACUAUGACAUUAACCCAAUGAGUUGUGUGCCUGUAUUUCUUUCAUGGUCUGUAUGCUGUUUGCUGCUGCUAGAAUGCAAUAUAGACUAUGACAUUAAACCGAGGGUGUGUUGUGCCUGUAUUUCUUUCAUGGUCUAUCUGAUGUUUUCUGCUACUAGAACGCGAUAUAGACUAUGACAUUAAACCAAGGUUGAGUUGUGCCUGCAUUUCGUUCAUGGUCUAUAUGAUGUAUGCUGCUGCCAGAACACGAUAAAGACUGACAUUUAAGGAUGAGCUGUUGUAACAACUUCCAUGAUUUAUCCUCAUGUUCUGGAUCAGGAUUAUUCUCUCUUCUCACUUGUGAUUUGUGAAUCUGUGAUUGGUACUUUUGUUAUUAUCGUUGAGAACCAUAUUUGUUACCAUAUUCUUCUUAUCCAGGUUCCCCUUCCACCCAAGUUUUGAUUGAAUGAUUCAUUCGGUUGAGUGAAACUCUUUCUCCUGAAUUGGAAAUUGGAUUUGAAAUUAUUGAA